This 252-nucleotide ribosomal RNA is filed under the name uncultured prokaryote. RNAcentral's name for it is "partial 16S rRNA". It matches the Rfam family "Archaeal small subunit ribosomal RNA", at positions 475 to 726 of the family's 1478-position model. The record is from RNAcentral.
ACCGGCGGCUCUCGUGGUGGCCAAGAAGAAGGGGCUUAAAGCGUUCGUAGCUGGCUUGUUAAGUCUCUGGGGAAAUCUUCCGGCUCAACCGGAAGGCGUCUCAGGGAUACUGGCAGGCUAGGGACCGGAAGAGGUGAGAGGUACUCCAGGGGUAGGAGUGAAAUCCUGUAAUCCUUGGGGGACCACCUGUGGCGAAGGCGUCUCACCAGGACGGCUCCGACAGUGAGGAACGAAAGCUGGGGGAGCAAACCA